AAUCCUAGCAGCCAUACACUCUCCAAUUUUCCAAUUCCAGAUUCCUCAAUCCCUUCUUCUCUAGGGUUUACUUUUUUCUUCUUCCUGCAACCUUCCUCGAUGGUUUCCUCGAUUCCAUCCUCUCUUCCAUAGCCGUCGAACUCACCACCUCCAUUUCUUCUCCAAACUACCGUCGAACUCACCACUCCUCUCCUCUGUUCAAAAUCGCGGGCUUCCCUUUCCAUCAUCUCCAUUCCUUGACACCUCUUGUUUCCUAGCCUGACACCGUUCAUCAUCUCCAUCCCAUCGUCCAUCUCCAACUCCAUAACUACUUUACCUUCCUCAACCAAUUCCAGAAUGGGACGCCUUUGAUGCAUACAGUCUUCACCUCUGGAAAAUUGGAAAAAGGCCUUGUGCUGUUGAAGUGCCAUUCUUCUGAACCUGGAUCCUCUCCUUUCUCAUAUAUUCGGCCGCAGAAGAGGUUGCUCUACAAAGGCCAAGUAUCAUGACACUGAAGGAGCUGAAAUGAAACCAAGAAGAAGGAGAAGUGAUGUUGCACAAUCCGGAAGGGUUGAGAUUGAGAACCUUGGUCAUAUUGAGAUUCUUAUUUGUGCUCAAAUUUGUUAUAUACUACUUGUUACAAUUCUUUUCUCCUUGAUGAAUUGGAAAACCCCCUUUUAGUUAACAUGGUUAUUUUACUAAUUUGAUUGGUUAGUCCUUCUUUUCCCCUUCCUGUUUUCUGUUUUCAUUUUUUCUUUCUCUUAUGGGUCAACCAGUUACAAAAGGACCCUCUGUUAGUCAUUAUACCAAGCUGUUAUUUUCCUUAUAGGUUUAUAGGCUUAUAGUGCUAUAGCGUGGCAAAUGCAUAGUUGGUGCUAACUUCUGUUUUAAUAUUUUUUGCCGUCACUCCAAUCUCAUUUCUGUCGAUGAAUCUAUUAUAAUGUCAAAUUGGUCGUGUUUUAUACUUAACAGCUUGUCUGAUAUUUCAGUUGAUAUAUGCUCAUUUCAAAUGCAUCAUCUUUGUACAGCUAGUUUAGAUCUGGUUCACUUGCCAAUAUACUUCUGAUUCUAAUGAGGUGGUCAUCAUGGCAGGUUUCUUGUAGCUUUCUCUGGGAAGUAUCUGAAGUAUGAUUACUGUGUUCCUUCUCCACAUAACUGGUCUGAAGACAAUAUUUCGUGUGUUUAUGACCUCAAACAGAAGAAUGUCUCUUUAGGCCUGCAUUUAUUGAGGUAGUCAUUGACCUCUUGCUCUGUUUCCUUAACUGCUCCUUGACAUGGAUGCUUUAUUUGCUAAUGCUAUGUUUCUUAACUUGUACAUUAGGAACACUUUAUGUUGGCCAUAGCCCAUAACUACUGUUGGGCCUGUUGAAUGUGUAUGUUUGCUUUUAGAUUUGUUAACUUCUGAGACACUUAUCACAAUUGAAUUUUGCCUGCAUGGAGUGAGAUUCUAGAAUAUCGUCUAAACAAAUUAGGAAACAUAAGAAACUUUAAUCUUCACAGUUCAGUACUUUGAGCAUAAGCCCUUUGUAUAAUUUGGGUGCCAUUUUUGGUCGGUAAUUCCUUUUUGUAUUUUUUACUGGUAUAAUUUUCUUAUAAAUGAGUUUUAGGCAUCAUAAGAUCACCAUAGUGAAGCUUGCCACACUGUAGCAAUAGCAUAUCCAUAGAAAGUCACUUCCCUUUAUUGAAUUCUGCACUUUAUCUUUUUUCUUUAUACUUAACUGCUUCUAAUAUGAAGUACAUGUAAUUUAAGUUAGGAUGCUCUCUGCCUAACAGUUGCUGAAUUUAUAGUUUUGUAACAUUUAUUAUUAAUGUAUUGCUGAAUUUAUAUAUUCUAGUCUCCAACCAAACAUAUUUUAUCUCUGGACAGUGACAUUUUAUGUAAAUUUGGUGGAUGUUUUAGCUGUGAUCCUUCAAUUUACAUGGGUUACAGCUUAUUGGUUUAGCACUUCCCCUGGCUGUUAAAACUCCAAGUAUAUUUUGAUGAGGUUUUUAAAAGAGAAUGAAUAUGACCUAACAAUAGCACUUCCGAUGAGGCCACCCUAGUGGAAGGUGUAUCCUUUUGGUCUUUUCAAUUUCAUGUCAAUCUUGAUAUCCAUUUUUUCUCCUUCAUUGUUCAAUAAAUUCAGGCUCCAUUUCGAUUUGAUCAGUGGAAUAUUAUUUACUUCUACAGGAUUGAUUUUAUGAUGUGUGUGAGAGUAAUGGCAGGUGAUUAUAUCCUUUCUUAACUUGGCCUCGCCGCGAUGGUCCGUGAUCGCGAUUUGAUAACACCGGUGAUUAUAUCCUUUCUUAACUUGGAUUUGAAGGGGGAUAUUGCCCUGUUUAACCUACACUUCCAUUAAUGCCUAGAAAGUUCUACUAGAAAGUCAAUCUUAAUGAUUUCAUAUAUGUUAAAUAUAGGGAGUUUGUUCUUGGGUUAAUACUUAUAUCUCCUUUAUGCAAAUCUCAUUCAUGGAGUGAAUGUUUUUUCAACAAGGUAUGCUUUUGUAGGUGUAUUUCUAGAUUAGGAUGGUUUUGGGGAGAAACAAAGGGACAAAAACCCAUUAUGCAGACAAGAAAUGACAAGAAAUGUCCCAACGAUUGAAGCAGUGGCAAUGUUUUUGCACAUCCUUGCUCACAACCUAAAGUACAGAGUAGUGCACUUUACCUGUUAUAGAUCCAAAGAAACAAUAAGUAGGCAAUUCAACAAUGUCCUACGAGCUGUAAUGAAAUGCAACUAUGUUUGGAGUUUCAACAGAAUCAAUGCAGUUAUCAUAUGACACAAGAGGGAACAGUGUGCCGACAAUUUUGUUACAAAUGCAAAGGCACUUGUAGGCCCAAGGAGGGUUGCAGGCAGAGGGGAUUUUCAGAAUUAAUACAGACAAUACUCACACUGAAGCUUCCCUUCUUGACUGGGCUAUUAAUCUGAUGGUUGAUGUUGUCCAAGAGGAACAUCUGAGUAAGAUGAAUGCACACAAUAUUGCCAUGGUUCCAGUAAACUCAGUUUCUCCAGGAAUAGAAGGGAGGAAAAUGCAUACAUAUACUGUAUUAGUCCUUUUCAUUUUUGUUAUAAGAUUGCAGAUCAUAGUUAAAAUAUUGCUAAUGUAAUUUUUUAUCUUAUGCUCAAAGACGGAAGUGAAAAUUUUUAAUUU
Lotus japonicus is the source of this 3107-nucleotide long non-coding RNA. RefSeq lists it as uncharacterized. The transcript has 4 exons. Lineage: Eukaryota; Viridiplantae; Streptophyta; Magnoliopsida; Fabales; Fabaceae. The record is from RefSeq and is a predicted model, not a curated record.